GGCCCCAUCGUCUAGCGGUUAGGACAUCAGGUUUUCAUCCUGGAAAUCGGGGUUCGAUUCCCCGUGGGGUCACCA
This 75-nucleotide transfer RNA is filed under the name Candidatus Uhrbacteria bacterium. RNAcentral describes it as "tRNA-Glu". It matches the Rfam family "tRNA". Rfam says of the family: Transfer RNA (tRNA) molecules are approximately 80 nucleotides in length. Their secondary structure includes four short double-helical elements and three loops (D, anti-codon, and T loops). The record is from RNAcentral. Lineage: Bacteria; Candidatus Uhriibacteriota.